Long non-coding RNA from Brassica rapa (field mustard), 11860 nucleotides. RefSeq lists it as uncharacterized. Lineage: Eukaryota; Viridiplantae; Streptophyta; Magnoliopsida; Brassicales; Brassicaceae. The record is from RefSeq and is a predicted model, not a curated record.
UUUUAGAUUUUGGAUAAUUCUUACUAUUAUUAAUUUUAAUCUUAUCUAAUAAAAUAAAUUAAAAUUUCGUUUUUAUUUUUUAAUUUAAUUAUACAUUUUAUUCAUUAAGGGUAUAAACGAUAUUAACCACUCUAACUUUUAACGUGAGAGCUCGAUUCCAAAAAUUUACUUCGCAAAUAAUAGUAUAGAUUAUAGGUGUAUCACUAAUAAGAAGAAGAAUAUGAUGAUCAUAUGAUGAUGAAGACUAGUGAUUGUAAUUUGUGUGUUUUUUCUCUCUUUUAGCAUUAGAUAAUUAAUUUUUUUGUUUAAACUAAGUAAAUUAAUUUUACCAUUAGUUAUAAAGAAUAUUUUAUUUCCUCUAUUACAGAAAAGCAUAAAAAAGUAUACCUUAAACGAUUUUUUUGCAAAUAACAAAAAAAACUUUUUUUGGCAUUUGCGCAGGUUUGAACCUGCACUAUAAGAAAGUCUCCCUGACACGUAACCACUUAGAUAUUUUACGAUAUUGAAGGCAGAAAACUAUUUAUAAACCUGAGGCCGUACGUCAAUGCUUCUACCGCUUUCCCUCCGGGCCGGUACUGCAUCGAACAAGAUUUCACCGUAUAAUUAUUUAAGAAAAAUAAAAAGUAUAAGCAUAAUACUUAAAUUAUAUGGUGCAAGUUGACAAAAAAUUUCUACGGUGCAAAAUUCAAAUCGUUACACAGUACAAUCCAAUUGACAAAAAUACAUUUUUAUCAGCUCACAUUUCUUAUUGAUAGAUUUUUACUCAGAGAAAUUAUAAUUUGUAUAGAAGUUUAAUAUCUCUUAAUAUAUCUUAUGAAAUUUAUAAAGGUUGGGGGGAUUUUAAUUGUGGAUAUUUAAAUUUUGCUACGAGUUUAAUACCACUUUUAAAAUUUAUCUUUAAAAUAUUAAAUUAACUGUUAUAAAUUUUUUAAAAUAAUUUAUAAAAUCUAUGUCGCACUGUAACGGAUACGGGGACAUCUACAGGUAUGGAGCGGGGAUGAGAAACGGCUAAACUUAUAAUUUAUGUAUAUGAAUAGAGCAUGGGUACAUAUAUAAAUAUAAAUAUAUAUUUAUAUAUCAUAUAAAUACCAAAUCAUAAUUCUCAUAUAAAAUAAAAAACCAUUAUAAUAUCUUAAAUAAAAUAAAACAUCACUAUAAUAUCUUAGUAAAAUAAAAAAAUAAACUAAUCAUGAAGCAAUUCAUUCUCCAAUUCUGGCUCGUAUGGUGAAAGACUUAGAAACUCCAAAUAUCUCAUAUCUUCCAUAGAAUCAAAAUUAUAUCCACCAACAUGCCACAUCUUUGUCUUUUAUUCUUCGUAUUGUUCAGAUUUCCUUGAUAAAAAACAUAAAUUGUUGUCGAUAAAAACUAGAUCUUGAGCACGGCUUGGAUUCAACAUAUUCCUUCCAAGUGAGUGAAUGAAUGAGUAAUUACUCCAAUUACGCUCAGCACAUAAAGAUACCCUAGGCUGUCCAAGCAACUUAAAAGCCAAAAUCUGUAGGGAAGGAGUUUGGGCACCAACGUUGGCCCACCACUUCUUGGGAUCCAUGGUAAACUCACUGAAAUGCAUGUUAAAUCCUCUAAAUGACCAGUUUUCAUGUAGAACAAAGCAUAUUCAUCCACAAAGACGAUCAUCAAUAUUCAGAAACAAUCUUCGAAAACAUUUCAUUCUCUCACUCGAGACUUCUGGAUCUUUAUGUGGACCAAGUUUCGUAGAAUCUUAACUUAGUCAUUCAUCACUAUACAAUCUACAAUACAAAAACAUGUUUUAUAUGAGGCAACGAAACAAAAAAAAAUACAUAGUUUAAAAUCAUACACCUUUGAUUUAAAGAGUGAGCUAGACAAUACAGAGGAGUGUUGUUUUUUGCCCAACGAGCCAUUAUAAUCUCAUAAACAACCUUGUAGAAAAGACUAACUUCAAACGUUGGGCGUUUCUGUUUCUUAUAUAUCUCAAACUUCACAUUCUCAAUCAUAGAAUCCCACAUCUCAUAUACCAAAUGAAGGCAUGUAUUUUCAGUGUCACAAAACCUUAUCAUCACUAAUAAUCUUACCUUUAAAGAAAGUUGCUUUCCCCACAUCAUCUUCUCUAUAAGUAGACCACUUCUCACUUAUGACCAUAGCUUCACGGUCUUUUUUGAUAAGCUUCAGUCUCUUAAGCAUCACAAUGAUAGAAGUAAAACGUGUAUCAGCAACUACAAAUAAUUUGAGAGGAGAUCAUUUACUAAAGAUUACUAUGGAAUUAGACAUGCUAUUAAUGUAGGGAUUUAUGUCUCGAGGUGGCAAAAAUGAGAGCUUGAAUUCCGCUUGUGGUUCAUGAAAUUUUUUAUUGCAAUGUAUCUCCAUAAACAUCUGUUAUCCAAUUGCAUUUUUCAUAUGUUGCUUCAUUCUUCUCCACGUUGCUUAUUGCACAAUGUUUCUUAAACCAAUACAUAUUACAUGAGAAGCUUCUCACGUUUUUCUAUAUACUAACCUGAAAGAAAAAAGAAAAACGUGAGAAGCUUGUAUAUAGACAAAACAGAAUACAUAUUACUUAAAACACAAAAUAAAAAGACAAACGUAACAGUAUGAUCUGUACGUAAGCUGAGAAAGAUGAAACAUGAGAAGCAUAUAUAAACUUGAAACAACACACAAGCGUAAAAAUUAACAAACCAAAAAACAUAAUUUGUAAUAGUACUUCUUAAUGUGUUUUCCUUAGACGUGAGAAUUGACAAUUGAGAAAGAAGAUGAAGAGAAUAAGAUUUUGUCUUAGAUUAAGAGAAGAUGGAUUAAAAUUUUGUAACCCUAAUCCUUUAUAUAAAGAUGUGUUUCUUUUUUUCAAAUUUUUCCAAAACUAAAAUACAUUAAAUGUAAAUGAUCAAUCUUUUACAUAAAUGAUACUAGGUUUACAUCAUAAACAUUUCAGACACAUUUCCAAAACCUAAAUACACAGUUCCUAAAAACCUUUACCGUCCCCACUAUCUCUGAAACAUUUCAGAAUCAUCCCCACGCCAUCCCGGAAGCGCAACUGGUACGUGAGACAGCAGUGAAUUGAUGUUCAUGUGGUUCAUAGUAUAAAACAUUUAUAUAUGUUUGUAAGCUCAACUCACCCUUAAUUACUAAAACCUAAACCCAAUCAAUUUUUUUAUUUUAAAUUUGAUACCACUUUACAAAUUUACCCUUAAAAAUUAAUAGUUUUAUAAAUACUUUAAAUUUGUGAUAAAAUAACUAAAUUGAUCCUCUUAAAUUUAUAAAUUUGUCAUCUUUGAUUUUAAAUUUAUAAAUGUGUCAUCUUUGAUUUUAAAUUUAUAAAUGUAUCAUAUUUGAUUAAAGAUAGUUUUAAAAAAUGAUAGCCAAAUUUAUGGUAUUUUAAUCAAGUUUUAUAAAUUUUUUCAUUAUAAUAUUUAUUAAUUAAAAAUAAUUAUUAAAAGUUCAACUUUUUUAAAAUAAGAAGUUUUAGUAAAAUAUAUAUAUAUAUAUAUAUAUAUAUAUAUAUAUAUAUAUAUAUAUAUAUAUAUAUAUCUGUUAUAUGUAAUUAAAAUAUAUUUAUAAAUAUCACAUAUAAACUUCAAUUUAUUAAUAGCAUUCAUGUGACUAAAUCUGUUAAAAUAUUAUUUAUAAAUGAGAAACUUCUCAAGUACUAUUAUAAGAAAAAAAAACUAUAUUUUCAACAUAUUUAAAUAAUAUUAAAUAAAUGUAAUAAUUUAAUAUAUGUAUAUCUAUAUUUGAAAAUAAUAUUUAAAGUUACUACAUACAAAAAUUAUGGAAACGCAAUCUGACACUAGACAAUUAAUUUUGGAUAAAAUUUCAGUUUCCCAAGAGAUGUUCCACGGGUUACGAAUAAACAAUUCGUGCAAAGAAAAAAUUAUGGCAACUAAAAUGUACAUGAGUAAAGCACAUAUUAUCUAGAGAUUUCAGAAAAUUUAGGUAGAUCAAAGACACACAUUUUGGUUUUCUCAAUGAAAGGAUCAACAAUAAAGUGAAAAGUUGGAAAAUUCAAUUUCUUACGAAAAGAAGAAAAUAAGUACUUACGAAAUCAGUGUUAUCAGCUAUGUCCACCCAUGUUAUGUCAUGUUUUCGACAACAAAAAAAAAUAAAAAAAUUGUUAAGUGGAGUAUCAGCGGGAAUCAUACAUGUAUUCAUUGGUUUAAUGGGAUACUAUGUGUAGGGAAAAAUAAAAUGAGGAAAUUGGCUUUCGCGAAUUACAAGAUUUUAAUAUUGCUUUAUUAAACAACUAUAAAGAUUGAUGAACAAACUCGAUUUUUUAUUUGCGAAAGUUUUUAAAGGAAUAUAUUAUAGGAAAUCAGAUCUUCUUGAUCCAAUUAAAAUCAUAUUUCCCUUCCUAAAUAUGGAGGAGUAUUACUUCACAUCUCAGUAUGGAACUAUCUUAGAUUCAUGCUUCUCGCCAAGGUCAGCAACACCAAAACAUCAACACCAAUUUUGAACCCGCUUUUAGGGUAAAAAAUCUGAUUAAUCCGGUAAGUAUUUCUUAGAAUGUAGAUUUACUCAAUGAAUACAUACACCCGGAUGAUGUUAGAAUUAUUUACAGUAUGGCAUUUAGUCGUUUUGCUAAUCCAGAUUCAUAUGGAUGGAACUUUACGGUGUCGGAAAGGUAUACAGACAGGUUAUAAAACAAAAAAAAAAUUCAGAUAAGGGUUUAGUUCAAGAAUUUGAUGGUGAUGCAAAGAAUUGAUUCGCAUUUUGUUGGAAGUUAUAAUGUUCAUCAAAGUUAAGGCAUUUUCCUUAGCAAAUAAUUUCGGGUAGGCCAUCCUUUACAAAAAAAUGAGAUCUCAUGGCAUAAAAUGUGAUACUCAGUAUAAAUCAUGUUCUAUUAAAUGUCUUCCAACAUUAAAAACUUGGACACUAUCAAAAAAUUCUUUAAACCUGGGAGUUUUUCUAAAUCCAUCGCUUUUUGCAAAUAUGAAUUAUCUAAUUUGGAGGUUAUCUAAAGUAUCUGACUUAAGCUUUAUUCACGAUUUUGUGGUAUAUUUGGAAGGGCAGAAUUAAAAAGGUUUAUAAUAAUAAAAAUGGAAAUCCACCGAAGAUAAUGCUCGUCGAUGAAAUCGAAGGAGCGUUAUGGACUGAAAUACAAUUAAAAGAUUUAAAGGUUGUCAAGGAUUUAAUUCCACCUCAAAAAGAUAGUGUACCCUACCUGAGUGUAAAUAUGAUAGAUAUCAUGUGGUGUUUUGUGGAUGGAACAUGAAAAAAAAGAUGUUUUUACAGAAUAGAGAUGGUUUUGUACUAAAGAAGGUUAACUGACAGCAUGAAGGAAGCCAUGGAUAUCUAAUGAAGUCUAUCAUCUUUACAUAGAGGAUGUAAAGCUUUCAUUUGUGUGGUGAAGUGUAUGAAGACCUAUAAUGUUAAAAAAAUGGUGUUUGCAACAAAUUAUUCUUAACCGAUGAAAAUAUUGUUUACACCAACAGAAUGGCAAGUGUUUUCUAUUCAUAUGGAAGAAUUUAAGGUAAGUAAAAAUUUCUUUCCUAAUUUCUCAAUCCAACUUAUUCAAAAGACAAAAAUAAAUACAAUGACUUGAUAAAUUGAUAUGUGGCAUCGAAAUUAGCCUUUCGCUAUAGUUUAUAACCAUCAUUGUCAAGAUAAAAACAGUAAUGUUAAAUAUUUUAAAGGGAAACUAGACUUUGACCCGCGCAACCGCGCAUGUGUUUACUUUCAUUUUUAUAUACGUAAAAAAAAUUUACAUUGUUAAUGGUAAAUAUUCUUAGCAUUAACCAUAUAUUCAAGCGUUUAUGAAAUCUAUUUUGUCAAGAUUCGAUUAAGGAAAUCUAUAAUCUAAACUAUUAAAACAAGAGUACCAAAUAGUACUUAACCCUGAGUUUUACUAGGGAUGAGCGCAAGGGGGGUACUUGCUUUUUUUAUGUAUACUUGAUACUUGGCUUGCUUUGAACGAGUAAUGAAUUAUUGGACUUGUACUUGACUUGUUGGAAACGAGCACUUUUUAUUUCGAGUACUUGUCCAAAAAUAUGUUACUUGCAAGUUACUUGCCUUGUUCGAUUACUUGCUACUUACAAGUAUUUAUUAAUUACUUGGAUAUAUUUCCAAGUUUCUAAUAAAUAAUAUUUUACUAGAGAAGGUUAUUAAAGUUUGUUUUAUUUACUUGACUUGGUAAAAAUAUGAGAGUUAUUUUAAAUUAAAUAUUUGCGCCUAAUAUAAAAAAGAAGAAGAUGGAGUUCAAUAAGAAAGUAUUGUUUACUUCUUACAACAAAGAAAUAUAUGUUUAGUGUUUUGGUUUUUAUGGUUUAGUUAUCAUUUUUUCAGCCGUAAAACAAGUAAGGAGUAAUAUCAAGGCGAGUCGUAACUUUUUUUUGUUAUACUUGUUACUUGCCUUAUACUUGCAAGUAGCAAAACUCAACGACUUGAUACUUGACUUGGCAACGACGAGUACUUGAAAAAACGAGACGGGUAUGGGUCAAGUAGCGGGUAUAAGGCAAAUAACGAGUGUUCGUGCCCAGCCCUAAUAAUUACAAAAGAAUGCCACUGGGAUUUUUGUCAUUUUGCUAUAAACCAUCCAAAAUCGAUUUCUUUCGUUACAUCUUCAAUCGUUACAUAAAACCAAGCUAAACCAAAUACAUAUAACUUAGUAUAUCCAUAUUUAGAAAAUGACAUUAGACCUCUCCUUACCAAACCGAACCUCGGUUUCAGUUGGUCCGACAACUUUGAUUACAUCUUCAAUUGUUACAUUAAACCAACCUGUUUACAUAUAUAAUAAACCAACUCGAGUCAAUUGUUCACAUAACCACCAAUAAAUCAAUAUUGUUUAAAUUUCAGCCUAAAGUUUGGUUAUGUAAUGGAAUUUGAUCCCAGUUUGCUGUAAAAUAUUACCAGACCUAAACCUAAGUGUACAUAUUACAUUUGAACCGAUAAUCACCAACUACAUAAUCUGAAACUCGGUUUUUCAAAAAUAAUACUAAAAUCAAUGAUAUUCCAUAACAGAUCCUAUGUUUAAGCAAUUACCUCCGAUAUCAAUCUUUGAAAUAAUAUAGAUAUGCACUUACCUAAUUUAUGGAAUAUUCCUUCUCAAUAUAUACUAUCAAAUAAUUGGAAAUGAGUCGAUUUUUUUCAUUAAUUACAAUUUCCUUAAGAACCAAUAUUCAUUAAUUACAAUUAACUCGGUUUUUCAUAUUCCACAUGCCUAUUUGUAAGCAACUCUAAAUAUAUGAAUAUUCCUUUUAUGAUACAAAUCUAAAAAUCUAAUCGGAACUAACCAAAUAAGUUGAGCUAUUAAAACUAAAAGAAUGUUUAUUAAUAACUUCAGAAUACAUGUAUUCCUUAUACAAAACGUGUUAAUCACGUUUGACAAUAAAUCAGUUAGGAUUUUCUAUUUAACCUACACACAAGGACCAUCGAUAUAUAUAUACUAGAUCCCUGGCCGCGCUACGCGCGGAUUGUCCUUUAGUUAAUGUGUUAGUUGAUGUUUUCCAUUGGUCUGACACUAAAUUUAAAACACAUCUUUCAUAUAAGUUUAAUAUUUGCACAAAAAUUCUGAAGCGAAUUAGAGUUAGAAUUUUUGAAUACAUCAAAAAAGAAAGAGUGAGAAAUAAAGCAUAUAUAGUGAUAUGAGGGGUUUGUAGAUUUAUUUAGAGAAACACAAAAAUUAAAAAAAAAAUCACAAGAAAGAAAGUUGGCAGUGUGUAGCUUUAAAAAUAACAUUAUUUAUGAGACUAACGUGAAAAAUAUAAAAAACAUUCAACUUAAUACUAAACCCAACCAUCGAGCAUUUUGGUAUAUUUUUUAAGAUAUUAAUACACGUGAAAAUAUACUUAAUGAAGUAGAAGUUUGGACGGGUAAAUCAAAUAUAGCAACAUGAAUACAGUAAAAAAAUCUAUAAAUUAAUAAUAUUAAUGAUAUUUAAUUCAUGUAUAAAAUUAUUAUUUUAACAAAAAGUUUAGCAACAGCUUGUUUAUUGCAAAGGUGAAUAUUUGCAGUAUGACUGAUUGUCUUACCACAUCCAGUUGUAAAGUUUUUUAAAGAAUGAACAUUUAAACUUGAAAUGAGGUUUGGCAAUAAAAAAUCUCUAGGUUGUUACCAGGAAAGUAUGAGAUAUCACCAUCUAAAUUUAGUAGUUUUUCAACCCACACAAUGCAUAAAUUGUUUUACUAUAUUUUUACAUUGUACUUCAAACUAUUUUAUUGAAAAAGUAAUAAAAGUUAUAAUUUGAGUUUAAAUUGUAAAAAGCUGAUUUGAACAUUGUUUUUUAGUUAUAGAAGAUUAUACAUAUAUAUAUAUAUAUAUAUAUAUAUAUAUAUAUACACAUUUUUCUUCUAAUUUUUAGCAAUGUAUUCCUUAAUAUACUUUUGUGAUCGGUUCUUUAAUUCCCAGGUUUGUUACUUGAGUGAUAGAGUGAGGAGUAAAACUUGUGUUGUUAUGGUUUGUUUAUAAUUUCCUUGGUUCUCUAUAUGAAUUCCAGAGGUAUUUGUUGGUGUUAUAUAAAUAAUCAACUUUUUCAUUGUGAUUUUUUCGUUUAAUCUGCAAAUUAAAAACUCUGUCACGGAAUUAUUGUUUUUAUUUUUUAAUUAUCUAGAGUUGAUUAAUUACUGAAGAGUUUAGGUUAUACAGAGAAUGUGGAUGAUUGAUUGGACUGUAACUAUAAAUGUUUAACGGUAAAAUUUAUGAUGUAAAUGAUUUGGAUGUAGUUUGUAAAUUAUUGAUAUAUGUUUUUUGGUAAAUUUUUCUGCUGUAGUGUAAGUUUUUCUUUGAUCAAGUUAUAUCACAUGAAUUUUUUUUUUGUAGUGUAAGUUUAUAACACAUGAAAGAGAGGAAGAUAGUUGUGGUUACUUUGUUUUCCUGUACUUCACUCUUACAUCUUAUGUAGGGAGAUGUAAUACGAAUUUUAAUUAUUGUAAUCCCAUAUAUUUUAAUAUCUUUAUAUAUAAAGUUGACUUGUCUGCCUGCUCCUGCUGCCACGUCACUCUCCAGAGAAGGGCAAAGCAUGCCACGUGUUUACGAUUCUUUAACUAUCUCAAAGUGCUUUCUCGAUGAAGAUUGUUUAACUGAUUUAUGCAAUGGGCUUUUAUACUCUCUAAAGUUGGCCCAUAUAUAUAAAGUUGACUUGUCUGCCUGCUCCUGCUGCCACGUCACUCUCCAGAGAAGGGCAAAGCAUGCCACGUGUUUACGAUUCUUUAACUAUCUCAAAGUGCUUUCUCGAUGAAGAUUGUUUAACUGAUUUAUGCAAUGGGCUUUUAUACUCUCUAAAGUUGGCCCAUAAGUUAAUAGGGUACCUUUGUUGUCGAUGAUAGAAUAGCAAAGAAGAACCGCCUGACCCUUCAGAUGACACCGCCUCCUGAUCACGCUUGCGUAACGGCUGCAAUUAUCAUUUAUCUCUACAUUAAUCCGAUCAUUUACGUCUUUUGCACCACUCACCCCUCUCUCUUUCUCUCUUCUUCCUUCGCUUAUUAACUUCAUCAAUUUCGGCCGGUUGCAUAUCCGAUGGAAUCGAGGAUAGAAGUCUUGGCUGCUCUGUAUCGGUUAUCAAGACGGUGGUCUCGGCUGAAGAGAAAGAGGAAGCUUGUGAACAGACUUAUGGGGUUCAUGCCGUGUACUUAGACGGCGCUUGGUAACGUGUUUUUGCUUUUGGUUUAUGGGUUUCUCAUGUUCACGGCGGUAACAUAUCGAUCUGCCGGAAGUGAGCUUCUUCUCUAGAUUGGCCCUUGAAUCGUCAGUGGUUUGUUUUUUCCCAUGCUCGGAGUACUCCCUGAUGCUAUGCUUAUUAUGGUGUUUGUUUCAGUCUCUGUGGGAAUGGGUUUGCUCGCUGGCUCUUCCGUUACGCUUCUUACUAUUGUCUGGAGAACUUGCACAGUUGUUGGCAAGUGUGCCAUUCGUGAUACUAUUGCUGUAAACAACCAAGACACUAGAAGCUUCCAUCUUAAAGGUAACGAGAAAGUGCUUAUGUCUUAUUGAUUGGAUGCUUCAUUUUUUCUGUUGACUUAUAUAACUGUCAUCGUUGUUACCUCUGUAUCUGUAGAUUCUGGUGUUAAUGUUGAUGUUUGGACCAUGUGCUUAUUCAUCAAUGCAGUUGUAAGAAAAAAUUGUAGCAGAAACGUUGAAACAUCUGACCAUGGAGAUCAUUGGUGCUAGGAGGAAGAAACUUUAUGAAGCAACAGUGUGGGUUAAGCCAAGGAUGAACUUCAAGGAGUUAUGCCGGUGAUAAUGCCCCUGCCAUUACUCCCUCCUAUCUUGGCUGCAAAUAAGAUGAUCAUAAAUCUUGGAGGGAAGUUCCACGAGAUGAUUCAGUACAAUCAUUUGCUGAUCAUGCUGUCAAGAGCAUCCAAGACAGAUUUAACUCAUUGUUACUUUCGUCAAGUUCCCGUUAUGGUAUGAUUCAAGUAAACUAAUGCUCACUGACGGUACUGAGGCUAUAAUUUCCUACUAAACAUCAUAACCAAAGGAUUUCUUUUCUGAUUGUAAAGUAAAAUGAGAACCAUUGGUGUGUUUUUCUUCCUUUCAUAGCCACUGUUUUGGGAUGAUAAUUGACACAAUGAUUUGGCGGUUUGUCUAUUAUUCCCAAUAUUUUCCAAAUGUGAUGCUAGCGUUAACUUUUCCACAUGUUUUUCAAAACGCAGCCGUUGUCUCUGGCUCUGAUGUGCUGUGUGCUUUGGUGUUGUACGGGAGUGGUGCUUUGAGAUUAAACUUAAACACCUCCACUUCUCAUGCUGUUGGUGAUCCAGGUCAAUAAAAAGUGUUCCAAAUGUAGGUGGCUUCUCUCCCACCAACACACUGCCACCAAAAAGUGAGAACCCACCCAAGAAAGUACAAAUAGUUUAAUUCCAGGCAGAUGCCUUAUUUGAUCACAAAUUUUUUUCUUCGUAAAUAAUGCUUUAUCAACCCUUUUAAAAUUUAUAAUAUCUCAUCAUGUCCUGUCUGUGUUUAGUUUUUCAAUGUAAGCAUAUAUGGUAUCCAUAAUUUUACCGGAUCACAAUUGUUAAGAAAUUUUGCUUAAGUCUUUUCUUGUCAUACUGAGGCGUUCGACAUUCUAUUUAAAGGUUACAAGUCUAGCAUAAUAUGCUUGCGCAUAUAUACUUGCAAAACAAGCGAUACCAAAUCAAGAUAUCUUUUUAUUUUCAUAAUUGCUGAAAAAAAAGAAAAAACUAUGAAGCUAAUAAACACAAUCUUGUUCACCAGGACAUCUCAUUAUGUUAUCUCUUACAAGAUGAUUGUAAAAUUGACUUAUGUAUCGAGCAACAACAAAACAAAAUACAGCAAAGUAUGCUUAGUUUCUAAUAAGAUAUUCAAAUUGCAUUGCUGUCUCAAGAAGACUACAAACUAUGCCAAUAAUAUCUUAAGCUGCAUCAACUUUUUUUUAACAACUAAAACUUAUGUAAAUAAAUUACAUAAAUACAUAUAUAAUAAUGAAAAAUACCAAAUAAAAUAACUAAAAUGAUGAGGGAGUUUCUUGCGAACUUGCAACCUUUGUCGCAUUUGGAAUAUCAGUUCUCUUUGUUGUAUUACAUUGGUCUAAUCCCAAUUUGGAUCUAUUAAUAUUCUUUGGUUCAGAAUCCAGUGUAUUGAUUCAACCGUAAAAAAUAAAAAUUGGAAUGACCAAUUUUCAACGAUUGUAAAGAUAUUACCAUACAACAAAGAAACUACAUGCUUCAUGGAUGAUGCAUUCCAUGAUAACAAAUAUUUUGAUACCUAAUAUAUUUCAGUCUCAAACAUGUUAUAUAAUACUUUAUUAAUACACAUAAUAGUUCAACUAUGAACCAAACAUAUAUCCACCAGAAUAGUUAUUAUUCUUUACAUGUAGAAUCAGAACAUAGUAAUACAAUCUUUUAUAUCCACGCCAUUAUCAAAUACAACAAACACAUUUCAUAAAAAAUACAAUAUCAGCAAAACAAAAUACACAUGUGAAUAACACAAAUAUCAAACAACCACACAA